This 67-nucleotide transfer RNA is filed under the name Peltonotellus sp. RNAcentral describes it as "tRNA-Leu". Lineage: Eukaryota; Metazoa; Arthropoda; Insecta; Hemiptera; Caliscelidae. The record is from RNAcentral.
ACUGGAUUGGCAGAUUAAGUGCUUUAAAUUUAGAAUUUAAAAAUGUAAAUUUUAUUUAUGUCUAGUA